Symphalangus syndactylus (siamang) is the source of this 371-nucleotide long non-coding RNA. RefSeq lists it as uncharacterized. The record is from RefSeq and is a predicted model, not a curated record. NCBI's taxonomy places the organism in Eukaryota, Metazoa, Chordata, Mammalia, Primates, Hylobatidae.
AAAAACACUUCUCUGAAUCUCAAUAUCCUGACUUCUAAAAUAAGAAUAAACAGAUCUUGAAUGCAGGAUGUGAAGCAGGUUCACUGUGUACUACUUACCAACUUGUUUGAGUCCACUGAGAGCAAAAGUGCUUUAACAUAACACAUUACAUGAAGCGGGUUUUAUUACUUACAGAUUUAAAUCAAUGAUUUCAACUAACCAUCUGUAGAAGAGGCCAAGCUAUGAUGAAGACAUUCCUUAUAUUACGUGGACAAUGGCGAAGACAUAUCAAGUAACUUUCAAAAUUGUUUAUUUGGAAAAGAUUUUCUUUCUAAUUAAGUGAAUAGGUGGAAAGGAAAAUGACUUUAGCCAGAACUAUUUGAUGUCAUUGA